This 253-nucleotide ribosomal RNA is filed under the name uncultured bacterium. RNAcentral's name for it is "partial 16S ribosomal RNA". It matches the Rfam family "Bacterial small subunit ribosomal RNA", at positions 524 to 776 of the family's 1533-position model. The record is from RNAcentral.
UACGAAGGGGGCUAGCGUUGCUCGGAAUCACUGGGCGUAAAGGGUGCGUAGGCGGGUUUUUAAGUCAGGGGUGAAAUCCUGGAGCUCAACUCCAGAACUGCCUUUGAUACUGAAGAUCUUGAGUCCGGGAGAGGUGAGUGGAACUGCGAGUGUAGAGGUGAAAUUCGUAGAUAUUCGCAAGAACACCAGUGGCGAAGGCGGCUCACUGGCCCGAUACUGACGCUGAGGCACGAAAGCGUGGGGAGCAAACAGG